RNAcentral lists this ribosomal RNA (422 nucleotides) under Synalpheus aff. brooksi KMH-2016. RNAcentral's name for it is "partial 16S ribosomal RNA". It matches the Rfam family "Bacterial large subunit ribosomal RNA", at positions 1929 to 2564 of the family's 2925-position model. Lineage: Eukaryota; Metazoa; Arthropoda; Malacostraca; Decapoda; Alpheidae. The record is from RNAcentral.
GGCUGCGGUAAUUUGACCGUGCAAAGGUAGCAUAAUCAAUAGUCUUUUAAUUGAGGGCUUGAAUGAAAGGUUUGACGGAAGAGAAGCUGUCUUAUGUAUUAAUAUUGAAUUUAACUUUUGUGUGAAAAGGCAUUAAUGGUUUAGAGGGACGAUAAGACCCUAUAAAACUUUACAUGUUAAUAUUGUUUAGUAAAAGUUUUAAUUAAUUAUUAAAUGGUUAGUUGUGUUUUGCUGGGGCGGCAGAAAUAUAAUCUUAACUGUUUUAAGUUUGAAAUAUUUAUUAAUAGAUUAUGGUCCUUUAUUUAAGAGGUAAGAGUAAGUUACUUUAGGGAUAACAGCAUAAUUUCUUUUGAGAGUUCUUAUCGAAGAUGAUAGUUGUGACCUCGAUGUUGAAUUAAAUUUUCCUUUAGGUGUAGGAGUUU